CAAUUCUUUAAGGGACACAGAAGUGCGAGGACCUUCAGUGCCUGGUAGUCUUUGUUUUGAAACUGAUUGGAAAUAACUUGCUGUGAAGUGGAUGUAGUCCCACCUGUCGCACGUAGACUUUUGCUUAAAUUCAGUUUGAACAUUAUGGUUCAAGGUCACUCAGCAACGAAUUUUACUGGACCAUGCAUUUAAAGGAAUGCGAUUGAGACAAUUUGAAUUAGACAUUUAAAGUCAAGAGCUGUAUGUAACUGGCUACGUCAGUGGUUUGAAUGUCGGUUUGACACUGCAACAUACAAUAUGUCGAGACUGACGCAUAAUCAUAUUCUUGUCCGCAACAAAUUAUAAAUUUCAAAUAUAUUCAUCUUCUUGAUACUGGAGUAAGGCAAAAUUUGUGGAGUGUUUCUCAGUGUAUUCGAAAUCUAAUUAAGUAAAUGAUCACAAUUCUGCACGCCAAUCAUUACUCAGAAAUAACGGCACUCUCUAUUUGUCGGUUUCUACAUGCUGUUUUUACCCUAAGAAGAAUCAAGUGCUUACCUAGGAGUUAUUAUCACUGAGCGGCUGUAGUGGACUACCAAAAUUCCGAUUAUUUUUACAAAAAAAUUUAUAUCAUUAAAUAACUGAAAUUAAACUAUAACAUGUACAAUAAAAGAA
Non-coding RNA from Zootermopsis nevadensis, 651 nucleotides. The record is from RefSeq and is a predicted model, not a curated record. NCBI's taxonomy places the organism in Eukaryota, Metazoa, Arthropoda, Insecta, Blattodea, Termopsidae.